CGGGUGAGUAACGCGUGAGGAACCUGCCUCAAAGAGGGGGACAACAGUUGGAAACGACUGCUAAUACCGCAUAAGCCCACGGCUCGGCAUCGAGCAGAGGGAAAAGGAGCAAUCCGCUUUGAGAUGGCCUCGCGUCCGAUUAGCUAGUUGGUGAGGUAACGGCCCACCAAGGCGACGAUCGGUAGCCGGACUGAGAGGUUGAACGGCCACAUUGGGACUGAGACACGGUCCAG
This 233-nucleotide ribosomal RNA is filed under the name uncultured bacterium. RNAcentral describes it as "partial 16S ribosomal RNA". It matches the Rfam family "Bacterial small subunit ribosomal RNA", at positions 103 to 334 of the family's 1533-position model. The record is from RNAcentral.